CCAAUAGCGUAUAUUAAAGUUGUUGCAGUUAAAAAGCUCGUAGUUGAACUUCGGGGUUCACCCAUUGGUCAGGCUUAAUUGUCUGCACUGGUGAGAUGAGUCUCUACCUUCUGAGGAACUUUCAUGUCAUUAAUUUGGUGUGAUUGGAAAUCAGGACUGUUACUUUGAAAAAAUUAGAGUGUUUAAAGCAGGCUAACGUCUGAAUACAUUAGCAUGGAAUAAUGAAAUAGGACGGACUGAUUCUAUUUCGUUGGUUUCUAGGAUCACCGUAAUGAUUAAUAGGGAUAGUUGGGGGCAUUAGUAUUCAAGUGUCAGAGGAGAAAUUCUUGGAUUUAUUGAAGACUAACUACUGCGAAAGCAUUUGCCAAGGAUGUUUUCAUUAAUCAAGAACGAAAGUUAGGGGAUCGAAGACGAUCAGAUACCGUCGUAGUCUUAACCAUAAACUAUGCCGACUAGGGAUCGGAUGAUGUUAAUUUUUUAAUGACUCAUUCGGCGCCUUACG
Molecule: ribosomal RNA, 502 nt
Filed under: uncultured Glomeromycotina
Lineage: Eukaryota; Fungi; Glomeromycota
Description: partial small subunit ribosomal RNA
Rfam family: Eukaryotic small subunit ribosomal RNA
Source: RNAcentral